GACAGAGGGUGCAAGCGUUGUUCGGAAUCAUUGGGCGUAAAGCGCGCGUAGGCGGCUGGCUAAGUCGGAUGUGAAAGCCCGGGGCUCAACCCCGGAAGUGCAUCCGAAACUGGCUAGCUUGAGUCUCGGAGAGGGUAGCAGAAUUCCUGGUGUAGAGGUGAAAUUCGUAGAUAUCAGGAGGAAUACCGGUGGCGAAGGCGGCUACCUGGACGAUGACUGACGCUGAGGUGCGAAAGCGUGGGGAGCAAACAGG
This 253-nucleotide unclassified non-coding RNA is filed under the name uncultured Myxococcales bacterium. RNAcentral describes it as "contains 16S-23S intergenic spacer region". It matches the Rfam family "Bacterial small subunit ribosomal RNA", at positions 524 to 776 of the family's 1533-position model. Lineage: Bacteria; Pseudomonadati; Myxococcota; Myxococcia; Myxococcales. The record is from RNAcentral.